GAGCUCAACCUGCAGGACUUCAUUCACCUGGAGAACAGGGAUCUGGUGGCGAUCAUCGCAGCUCUGGAGUACAACCAGUGGUUCACUAAACUCUGCACCAAAGACUUCAAACUGGCGACAGAUGUGUGCGACCAGAUCCUCAGAGUGGUGGCCCGGUCCGGCCGGCUGGAGGAGCUUGUGCUCGACAACACUGGACUCAGAAGUGAUUUUGCUCAGAACUGGCCAGCGCUCUGUCGCACAACCCCGCCUGCACGCUGCACACACUGAGCCUGAGCAACAACUCACUGGAGGAC
Etheostoma spectabile (orangethroat darter) is the source of this 293-nucleotide long non-coding RNA. RefSeq lists it as uncharacterized. The transcript has 4 exons. Lineage: Eukaryota; Metazoa; Chordata; Actinopteri; Perciformes; Percidae. The record is from RefSeq and is a predicted model, not a curated record.